CAUGGCCAGCCGCUUAUUGGGCGUCUGUACACGUCACAGUCUAACCCGGAAGUGCAGUGACAGCGCCUCUUAAAAUCCUUCAUCCCUUUCGCGGAACAGCAAAACAAAGCUUGCCAAGAAGCUCAGGCUUUGGACAGACAUGCAGCACUGACACACCUACAGACAGAGAGACCUGACAGACAGAGUCCAGCUGGCGAGUCAUGGCAGCAGCAAGCGGAACAGAUGUGCGAGGAACUUUGAUCUAGGGUGCCUGUAGCUAUUUUGGAGUUUGGACAUCCUGUUAUACUGGAUUCAUCUCUCUGCAGCUCUCCGUACGGCAGGUGUUGUUUAAGAGGCGGCCAGCUUGACUGAUUAUUGGCCCUUCCCUCCCCUACACGGCCCAUACCACCUCACCCCACAUCUGGCUGGUGCACCGGCCCCAUUCCGAUCAUCUCUGCAUCAAGGCUGGCAAUGUCCAGAGUCCCAAGCCCCCCUCCCCCGGUGGAAAUGUCCAGCAUUCCCAUGGCUGAGAGCUGGUGUUAUACUCAGAUCAAAGUGGUGAAGUUCUCCUACAUGUGGACCAUCAACAACUUCAGCUUCUGUCGCGAGGAGAUGGGAGAAGUCAUCAAAAGCUCCACUUUCUCCUCAGGAGCCAACGACAAACUCAAAUGGUGUUUGCGUGUGAACCCUAAAGGUCUGGAUGAGGAGAGUAAAGACUAUCUGUCACUUUACUUGCUCUUAGUCAGCUGCCCAAAAAGUGAGGUGCGCGCCAAGUUUAAGUUUUCAAUCCUCAAUGCCAAGGGAGAAGAGACCAAAGCCAUGGAGAGCCAGAGAGCGUACCGUUUUGUCCAGGGGAAGGACUGGGGUUUCAAAAAGUUCAUAAGGAGGGACUUCCUGCUGGAUGAGGCCAACGGUCUGCUGCCCGAUGACAAAUUAACACUCUUCUGCGAGGUGAGUGUGGUGCAGGACUCUGUGAACAUCUCAGGCCAGAACACAAUGAACAUGGUGAAGGUUCCUGACUGCAGGCUGGCUGAGGAGCUCGGAGAUUUGUGGGAAAACUCUAGAUUUACUGACUGCUCCCUGUGUGUUGCCGGCCAGAAAUUCCAGGCGCACAAAGCCAUCCUAGCAGCUCGCUCGCCGGUGUUCAGUGCCAUGUUUGAGCACGAGAUGGAAGAAAGUAAGAAGAACCGUGUGGAGAUAAAUGACGUGGAGCCAGAUGUCUUCAAAGAGAUGAUGUGCUUCAUCUACACAGGCAAGGCCCCCAACCUGGACAAGAUGGCUGAUGACCUGCUGGCUGCAGCUGACAAGUAUGCUCUGGAGAGGCUGAAGGUGAUGUGCGAGGACGCUCUGUGCACGAGUCUGAGUGUGGAGAACGCCGCAGAGAUCCUCAUUCUUGCCGACCUGCACAGCGCCGACCAGCUCAAGACGCAGGCUGUGGACUUCAUCAACUAUCACGCAGCUGAUGUGAUGGAGACAUCGGCCUGGAAGUCCAUGGUGAUCUCUCACCCACACCUGGUAGCAGAGGCCUAUCACUCCCUGGCCUCGGCUCAGUGCCCCUUCCUGGGUCCCCCAAGAAAACGGCUCAAACAGUCCUAGUGGUCCGGAGAGACUCGCUGUCAUAACCCUGCUGUGUCUACCUGUACCGGCAACCUCACUGCUCCUCCCCCCCAGUCCUCCUCUCUCUCCUACAGCAUCCAGAGACGCCCAAGAGUGAAACCCAAGGCUAGAUAUGGCUAGGGCCAUAGCCAGAGCUACUCAGCUGGGCAGACCAGAGAAUUACAGGACUGAUGCCACAGAAGAGAAGGAGAGAAGGGAGUGGGAUAGAAAAUCCCUCAUUUCACCACUGUGCAGAGGAAUGCCAGCAUGAUGUAUGAGGUCACUCGUCCUUCAAGAAGCUUUGCUCUAUCCGCUUUUAUCAGGCAAGCUGUUCCACCAACACACACACACACACACACACACACACACACACACACACACAGCCUCACAAACAAGCCUGUGCAUACCUGAAAGGUCACUGUGAGGAAUGUGGGUCCAUCACUUUGGCUAUUACCCUUCAUUAGUUGUAAAAUAUCUCUGUCCAGCUGACUCUGUGAAAUAGUUGCUGCUUAUGAGACGUUUCUUUCAGGAGCUCAUGAAUUCUUCAAAUGGCCGAUUGCCCUCCUCCACUGAAGUCCCUGAUCGCUCAGGUGAGCUGAUGGGUCCAAGCUGAAGUCUUCACACAUUCUCCUCACGCCUGAGUGAGGUGAGUUCGUGUGUCAGUCCUCCUCGUCAUGAGUGUGUAACAGUCACACACACACACACUCCCGCCUGGUUAAGAAUUCCAUCAAGACCCCCAAAGCUGAUGCUGUUUUGCUUGCUUUUUUGUUUAUGUACUGCUGUAUUCCUUUCUUUAUUUACGCUCACUUCGAAGUUUUCAUUAAAAUGCAAAGGAUUUUUGCCUCUCUCACUUAUUCUUCAAUCUGCCAAUUUCCCCCCACUGCACUUGAGAAUUAUCUUGACUUGUAAGGCUUUGCAAGUUUGUCUUUCUCUGUUUCUUACUCAUUCUCUCUCUCUUUCUCGGGUGCUCCUGGGGUCCAGUUAUUUCUCAGCUGGGAAAAUACAAAUAUCUCUUCUGCAGUGGGCAAAUUACUCACUCUGACUGUUUCUGUGAACUUUAAGUUUUACAUCUCAGCAUUAGAGCAGUCAGUCAUUUAUUAUUGAUUGUAGAUCUCCUUAUAACCAUCUGCACCAAGAAUGUCUGACCUUAAAGCUGAUAUUUUAGUUGUCAUCUCAGGAACAUGAUUCAAAUUAUAACAAUUAAAUGACAAUAAACAACCAGCCAUAUCACUCAGGAGUGGCAUGGUGUGGGCGGUUUCUGUUUACUGAUGGUUUUACAUGAAAAUAAAUUGGAUCCAUGCAUUAGAGGUGAUUUAUAUAAACACACUGAUAAUAAACUUUAUAUGAAAAACAAUAUUCAAAGUGCUUCACAGUUAAGAUGAAGGCAGCAGAAUAUAUCAGGAAAACAGUCUUUUCUCCCUCAAACACUCAUGCAAGUUCUUCCUCAUUUGAAUUAAGACUUUUCUACCAUGCAGGUGUCCAGUAAUUUUGUGGGAUGUGUUUUAUUUUUUUUAAGAGUGAUCCUAAAAAAGUGACACAAGAUGAUGUGGGCUGUGUUAAUGAGCCACAUCAUCAUGAAAUCCAAAGUGAAUAUAUAAACAAAUGAAUUACAGUAGCUGCACAAAGGUGUGUUUGCAAUGAUGGGAAUAAUAAUCAUCACUGUCCUGCCGCUCCAGCUAAUGACUUUGAGCACGAUGCCUUGUACAAUAUGUAUCACUGCUCCAUUGCUGCUAAUUUGGAGUUUGUAAUUGCAGUCUGUCUAGAGUUUAAACAAAUAUUACACCAUAGAUUAAAGCUGUAAACCAUAACUUCUCAUGACUUUUAAUUUUUGCAUUAUUGCUGAAGUUUCUUUCGGUGCAGCUUUUUUUUUUUGUCUGUUGAGCCAUGCAAACAUUUCUUCAUCUAUUUUUUACAAACACAAUUGCCUGCGCACAUACAGUAAAGAUUUUCCCCAUAACAGAGUAAACAGCAGAGUGAAAGCUUUCAUAAACUGGCCGCACAGUAAGUAGGUUGAAUCACUCCUUUGCUGCAGCAAUCAGUGAGUUGAAUGUGCUGCUCCAGUGGGGAUCCAUUAAUAAACAGCUGACGACAUGACGCACACUAUAAACCAGAAACAGUGGGGAGGGACUGUGCUUACUGAUUAUAAUGAAGGACUUCACAAAGGGAACUUCAGAGACACACACUGCACACAUACAAACAUUUGACGCCUGUCCAUGUUGUGCUUUUCAAGAGGAAAGAUUUUGUUCACACUGUGUUUUAGCCAGUUGUAUGUGAGAGGCUACUGUUGAUGGACUAUUUGGAACAGCUGACAUGGAGUCUGAUGGGGAUUCUCUUGUUUGUUCCAACUAUUCUCUCCUCCUUUUUUUGUCCUCUGUGCCGAGGAAAAGAUGCAGCUCAGAUCUCUGUUGGACAAAACAUCUGUUCAGCCUCUGAGGAAAUUUAGGCGGAGUGUGAAGUAAAACUUGUGUGUCCA
Siniperca chuatsi (mandarin fish) is the source of this 4048-nucleotide RNA transcript. It is a transcript of the gene named speckle type BTB/POZ protein, with no coding region annotated. NCBI's taxonomy places the organism in Eukaryota, Metazoa, Chordata, Actinopteri, Centrarchiformes, Sinipercidae. The transcript has 12 exons. The record is from RefSeq and is a predicted model, not a curated record.